This 713-nucleotide ribosomal RNA is filed under the name uncultured bacterium. RNAcentral describes it as "bacterial SSU rRNA". It matches the Rfam family "Bacterial small subunit ribosomal RNA", at positions 136 to 851 of the family's 1533-position model. The record is from RNAcentral.
CUCGAGGAUAGCCUUUCGAAAGAAAGAUUAAUACCCGAUGUCAUAGUCCUACCGCAUGAUGGGAUUAUUAAAGAAUUUCGGUAUGGGAUGGGGAUGCGUUCCAUUAGUUAGUUGGCGGGGUAACGGCCCACCAAGACAACGAUGGAUAGGGGUUCUGAGAGGAAGGUCCCCCACAUUGGAACUGAGACACGGUCCAAACUCCUACGGGAGGCAGCAGUGAGGAAUAUUGGUCAAUGGACGAGAGUCUGAACCAGCCAAGUAGCGUGAAGGAUGACUGCCCUACGGGUUGUAAACUUCUUUUAUAUGGGAAUAAAAUGUUCCACGUGUGGGAUUUUGUAUGUACCAUAUGAAUAAGGAUCGGCUAACUCCGUGCCAGCAGCCGCGGUAAUACGGAGGAUCCGAACGUUAUCCGGAUUUAUUGGGUUUAAAGGGAGCGUAGGUGGAUUGUUAAGUCAGUUGUGAAAGUUUGCGGCUCAACCGUAAAAUUGCAGUUGAAACUGGCAGUCUUGAGUACAGUAGAGGUGGGCGGAAUUCGUGGUGUAGCGGUGAAAUGCUUAGAUAUCACGAAGAACUCCGAUUGCGAAGGCAGCUCACUGGACUGCAACUGACACUGAGGCUCGAAAGUGUGGGUAUCAAACAGGAUUAGAUACCCUGGUAGUCCACACAGUAAACGAUGAAUACUCGCUGUUUGCGAUAUACUGCAAGCGGCCAAG